RNAcentral lists this long non-coding RNA (2369 nucleotides) under Triticum aestivum (bread wheat). RNAcentral describes it as "long non-coding RNA (TAES_LNC003998)". The record is from RNAcentral. Lineage: Eukaryota; Viridiplantae; Streptophyta; Magnoliopsida; Poales; Poaceae.
UCCGAUCUCGCGUGCUGGCCGCUGCCGGCGCCGCCUGCUCCCAAUGCCUCGGGUGCCUUCUGCCGCCGUAGCCACCACCACACCACGACCUCGUCUCCUCUGCCCCCUUUCCCGUCUACGGGCUGCACAUCCUCGCCGGUGGUGGCGCUGCAUGCUACUCAUUCUUCUCCAUCGACACGCUCCACGACCACCCCCUUCAGGUACGCACUGCUCCCCGAGGACCUCCACACUGUCUGCACGAAGCUAAGGUUCAGAUCGCCAUUAUCGCUGCCACCGGCCACUAAUUAGUUCGCUAGGAUGUCCUUCACACCCGUCGUUCCUCGCACCUACUUAGCCUGAUAUAUCAAAUCACAGUAUUAGCGCUUUCUGUGGUCUCACAUCGCAGUUUUCUCUGCCGAAACUGUAGGAGGCAUGAAGAGGUUGGCUAUAGACCAGGCAGGAGAAUAGGGGCUAGGAAAAGGCAGAAAAUUGCCAGGCAAUAUAUGUUCUCCUGCACAUUUGAAUCCUGAUUUAGAUUCUCCUACAGAUUUGAAUAUUUUUACCAUACCAAUUAGCUUGUUAUUUUAUUUGUGAGUAUAAUGAUACGCCUGAUGCCCAAGGUUGUGCUUUUCCUCCUCAUAGUCCAAGUUACUCGAAAAUAAAUAUCAUGGCCCUGGAUUUGAUUGCAAUAGAAGUAUCAUAGAUUCAUCUCCACCUAUACCCCAUCUAUGGGUGUCAACGCCAAUCACCCUAAUUCCUAUAUCGUUGUCUCCUUAGGACUAAUAACCUAGAAAUUCUCAAAAUAAAGCAAAACUUCAAGCCCUUGAUCAUGUGGACCCUUACUUCAAAAAGCAUGGAUUUGAUCUAAUAUAAGCUUAUUCCUUGAUUUUCCACCGAGGUUCCUCACGCUGUGCACAGUUGAAGGAUGCUGGGCCAUUCAAAAUGGCUUCUUCAGCGCGCCGUCAUCCUCUCCUCCUCUAGCCAACGUCAAUGGCAUUCGGCAUUGAGGAGAAAGUAUUGCAUCGCAUAUAUGCUCCUUGAUUCCCUGGAUUCUGGAUCUCCUUGGGAAAAAGUAGGCAAAUGAUCUGCAAAGAUGCAAAUUAAUUGGGCAUGAUAACCCUGUUCUUAUUCUUCGAUUUAUUUUGAUCCUACGCAUUAGAAGGAUUUUCUUUGUGGCUGUUACGCUGCUCUGCUAGGCAUUAGAAGGAGUUCAUUUUUUACUGGUACGCCUGCUCUGCACCAUUAUCUAAAAAAUAAAUCCUAACAAGAGUAUGUUUGUAGCUAGCUUUCACAUGCUUCUGUUUUGUGAAAUGCAGCAAGAAUGCAGCAUGUACUCCUAUGUCCUGCAUAUGAACGUGAGAAGAAACUCAGGCACACCCUACUGAAUUAAGACCCGUGAUCCAUUUUCAGCUAAUUGUUUUACACACUCCUGUAUGGGCACUGUUUAACAUCGUAUUGGAUUUAUUAUUCCCCGCAAAAAUAAUAAUAUAGGAUAUAUGAUUGUCCAGUAAAAUACAGUAGGCCAAUCCAUAGGCUGUAGUAAAUUAAUUUUGUUUUAUUCACAGGAAUGCAUGUGUUUCAUUACUCAUUAAUUAUAUGGGGUUUUCACACUUACAACUGAUGCAUUUAACAGAUUUUGAGAAGAAAUAGGUUACUUUUGUCCCAUAUAAUAUUUAUCUUUAAAACUGGAAGUAAAGACAACAAAAUUACUGGAUACUAGGGUGACUCCUAUAUAAUUGAUCAAAUACAAUCAGAUAAUAUAAGUUGUGAUUUAUGUAAUCAUAUAAUAUAUUACAGUUCAUGUAAACCUAAAUAUAAUUUGUGUCAUUUCUUCUUUUUUUAUUGUGUUUAUUCAUAGAACUAAAAGUCAGUUUUCAGGGAGACAUUGGUUUCAGCCUUGGCCUUCUUCAGUUGAAAGAUUAUGCUGCUUAUUCUGUCAUUCUGAGAAAGUCAAUAUCUCAGCAGCAAGCUGGCAACUUAGGCAAUGAUGUUGGACGAUCCAAUUCUUUUGGACUCAAACUCUUGGUUUGUUGCUUUAUAUUCUGAAUUUCUUUUGUAAACAAAAGGGAGGAGUUGGAGAGGAUCUGCAAUUGUAAAAUUUACUUGUUUUCAUUGGAAUUGUUUACUUAAUUAUGAAAUGAUUUUUAUUUCUUCUGGAUUUGAUAUACUAUUCUUGGGCUCAUGGGAUUGCCUGACACGGUGAAGAGCUAACUGUUGGUGUUGUUUUACAUCAGUCAUGUUUGUUUUAUUUCAAUGUUAGACGUGGUUCUAACAAAAAAUGUAGGCAAGGCUUCAAUUUCUUGUGAGGCAGCAUGCUACUGAUACAAAGGAAACUGCCUCCCUAAGCACUUAGCCCCUCUAGAGGAUUACGUGACGAUUAAUUGUGAAGC